GGCUCUGUAGCUCAAUUGUUUAGAGCGCCGCAUCGGAAUCGCAGAGCCGCAGGUUUGAUUCCUGCCAGAGUAU
Molecule: non-coding RNA, 73 nt
Organism: Paramuricea clavata
Lineage: Eukaryota; Metazoa; Cnidaria; Anthozoa; Malacalcyonacea; Plexauridae
Source: the annotation of a GenBank genome assembly